AUGAACGCUGGCGGCGUGCCUAAUACAUGCAAGUCGAGCGAACAGAUGAGGAGCUUGCUCCUCUGACGUUAGCGGCGGACGGGUGAGUAACACGUGGAUAACCUACCUAUAAGACUGGGAUAACUUCGGGAAACCGGAGCUAAUACCGGAUAAUAUAUUGAACCGCAUGGUUCAAUAGUGAAAGACGGUUUUGCUGUCACUUAUAGAUGGAUCCGCGCCGCAUUAGCUAGUUGGUAAGGUAACGGCUUACCAAGGCAACGAUGCGUAGCCGACCUGAGAGGGUGAUCGGCCACACGGGAACUGAGACACGGUCCAGACUCCUACGGGAGGCAGCAGUAGGGAAUCUUCCGCAAUGGGCGAAAGCCUGACGGAGCAACGCCGCGUGAGUGAUGAAGGUCUUCGGAUCGUAAAACUCUGUUAUUAGGGAAGAACAAAUGUGUAAGUAACUAUGCACGUCUUGACGGUACCUAAUCAGAAAGCCACGGCUAACUACGCG
This 496-nucleotide ribosomal RNA is filed under the name uncultured bacterium. RNAcentral's name for it is "partial 16S ribosomal RNA". It matches the Rfam family "Bacterial small subunit ribosomal RNA", at positions 29 to 507 of the family's 1533-position model. The record is from RNAcentral.